Cricetulus griseus (Chinese hamster) is the source of this 888-nucleotide non-coding RNA. The record is from RefSeq and is a predicted model, not a curated record. Lineage: Eukaryota; Metazoa; Chordata; Mammalia; Rodentia; Cricetidae.
CAUGGAGGUCAGAAGCAAGUGUUGGCCCCUGGAAUUAGAGUUGCAUAUAACUGGAAGCUUCCAUAGGGCUGCUGAGAAGCAAAGCCAGGUUCCUUUCAAGAGCAGAAGGCAAUGCCUGAUAUUCUAUAGUGAAAUAGGUGCGGUCCUUACAUUCAGAAGGAAGGAAUGUCUUUGCUUUGAAGACAAGAAGACAAAUAGAAAAAUAAGCAAGUGUUACUAAGCUCUCCUCCUGGAUCACUGCAGUCAGACUUGCUUCCACAAUGAACUGCUUCUGUUCAAGCGGAAGGUCCUCAAUGAGGCAUUGAACUCAUAAUGAAAAAGUAUGUAUAUGUUUCUCUGUCAAACCUUUUACUUAAUGUGCAGAAUCCAAUAAGUAACCAAAAAGUGAGUAAGGAAAUAUCUUUGCUACCAUGAUAAUGGGAAGAAAAGAAAUAUGAUUUAAGCAAGGUAUCAGAACUAACACCUUUUCCAAAAUCAGUAGAAAAAUUUGUGUUCCUCUCUUGGCUUCUUCAUUCACACACACACAAACACAUACGCACGCACGCACGCACGCACACGCACACGCACAUGCACACACAAGAUUGGUUUGUGUGGGUGUGUGUGUGUGUGUGUGUGUGUGUGUGUGUGUGUGUAUGAUGAAGUACAUCGAAGUUAUGUAAUCCAGAUUGACAGAUUAGAAAAACUUAAACAGAUCACACAUUAUUACUCUUGUUUUGAAAGCUAUGACUUCACAGUGGUUACUGCUCAUCACUAGAACAUGUAUUAGUCAUUAUGAUCCAACAGCAUUUAUAUCUUCUCUGGUAACUGGUAGUUUCUGAACUUUAUAUGUGUAAGAGUCACUUGUAAGGCUCUUAAAUGUACAUUACCUAAAAUACAUUAAUAGCUCUA